CCUACGGGGGGCUGCAGUGAGGAAUAUUGCGCAAUGGGGGCAACCCUGACGCAGCAACGCCGCGUGAGUGAGGAAGGUUUUCGGACCGUAAAGCUCUGUCGAGUGGGAAGAAAUGUAUUGUGGCUAAUAUCCAUGAUAUUUGACGGUACCGCUAAAGGAAGCACCGGCUAACUCCGUGCCAGCAGCCGCGGUAAUACGGGGGGUGCAAGCGUUGUUCGGAAUUAUUGGGCGUAAAGAGCGUGUAGGCGGCUGAAUAAGUCAGAUGUGAAAUCCCUGGGCUUAACCCAGGAAGUGCAUUUGAAACUAUUCAGCUUGAGUAGGGGAGAGGAAAGUGGAAUUCCUGGUGUAGAGGUGAAAUUCGUAGAUAUCAGGAGGAACACCGGUGGCGAAGGCGACUUUCUGGCCCUAUACUGACGCUGAGACGCGAGAGCGUGGGUAGCAAACAGGAUUAGAUACCCCUGUAGUC
This 466-nucleotide ribosomal RNA is filed under the name uncultured Smithella sp. Its description in RNAcentral is "bacterial SSU rRNA". It matches the Rfam family "Bacterial small subunit ribosomal RNA", at positions 338 to 795 of the family's 1533-position model. The record is from RNAcentral. Lineage: Bacteria; Pseudomonadati; Thermodesulfobacteriota; Syntrophia; Syntrophales; Smithellaceae.